GUUACAUCGUGGCAGGUGUGGGGGGUAUUACGGGGGAGGCGGGGGUUUUCGGGUUUUAUUGGGUGUAAAGGGUGCGUAGGUGGUUUGGUAAGUCAGUGGUGAAAGUUUGCAUCUUAACUGUAAAAUUGCCGUUGAAACUGCCGGUCUUGAGUGCAAAUGAGGUAGGCGGAAUGCGUUGUGUAGCGGUGAAAUGCUUAGAUAUGACGCAGAACUCCGAUUGCGAAGGCAGCUUACUGGGAUGCAACUGACACUGAGGCACGAAAGCGUGGGUAUCAAACAGGAUUAGAUACCCCAGUAGUC
RNAcentral lists this ribosomal RNA (300 nucleotides) under uncultured Lactobacillus sp. RNAcentral's name for it is "bacterial SSU rRNA". It matches the Rfam family "Bacterial small subunit ribosomal RNA", at positions 497 to 795 of the family's 1533-position model. The record is from RNAcentral. Lineage: Bacteria; Bacillati; Bacillota; Bacilli; Lactobacillales; Lactobacillaceae.